CCUAGUAACUGCGAGUGAAGCGGGAUGAGCUCAAAUUUAAAAUCUGGCGUCUUCGGCGUCCGAGUUGUAAUUUAGAGAAGCGUUUUCCGCGCCGGACCGUGUACAAGUCUCCUGGAACGGAGCGUCAUAGAGGGUGAGAAUCCCGUCUUUGACACGGACCCCCGGUGCUCUGUGAUACGCUCUCGAAGAGUCGAGUUGUUUGGGAAUGCAGCUCAAAAUGGGUGGUGAACUCCAUCUAAAGCUAAAUAUUGGCGAGAGACCGAUAGCGAACAAGUACCGUGAGGGAAAGAUGAAAAGCACUUUGGAAAGAGAGUGAAACAGUACGUGAAAUUGUUGAAAGGGAAACGCUUGAAGUCAGUCGCGUCCGCCGGGACUCAGCCGCAAGGUGUACUUUCCGGUGGACGGGCCAGCAUCACUUUCGAUCAUCGGAGAAAGGCGAGGGGAAUGUGGCACCUUCGGGUGUGUUAUAGCCCCUUGUCAUAUACGGUGAACGGGAGUGAGGACCGCCUUUGUAGGAUGCUGGCGUAAUGGCUUUAAACGACCCGUCUUGAAACACGGACCAAGGAGUCUAACAUGCCCGCGAGUGUUCGGGUGGAAAACCCGUGCGCGUAAUGAAAGUGAAAGUUGGGAAGGCUGUCGCGGCCUGCACCGACGCCCGGACUCGAGAUUUAUCAAAGGUUCUGCGGUAGAGCGUGUAUGUUGGGACCCGAAAGAUGGUGAACUAUGCCUGAAUAGGGUGAAGCCAGAGGAAACUCUGGUGGAGGCUCGUAGCGAUUCUGACGUGCAAAUCGAUCGUCGAAUUUGGGUAUAGGGCGAAAGACU
Molecule: ribosomal RNA, 822 nt
Filed under: Peniophora polygonia
Lineage: Eukaryota; Fungi; Basidiomycota; Agaricomycetes; Russulales; Peniophoraceae
Description: LSU rRNA
Rfam family: Eukaryotic large subunit ribosomal RNA
Source: RNAcentral